GAUGAACGCUGGCGGCGUGCCUAAUACAUGCAAGUCGAGCGAACAGACGAGGAGCUUGCUCCUCUGACGUUAGCGGCGGACGGGUGAGUAACACGUGGAUAACCUACCUAUAAGACUGGGAUAACUUCGGGAAACCGGAGCUAAUACCGGAUAAUAUAUUGAACCGCAUGGUUCAAUAGUGAAAGACGGUUUUGCUGUCACUUAUAGAUGGAUCCGCGCCGCAUUAGCUAGUUGGUAAGGUAACGGCUUACCAAGGCGACGAUGCGUAGCCGACCUGAGAGGGUGAUCGGCCACACUGGAACUGAGACACGGUCCAGACUCCUACGGGGGGCAGCAGUAGGGAAUCUUCCGCAAUGGGCGAAAGCCUGACGGAGCAACGCCGCGUGAGUGAUGAAGGUCUUCGGAUCGUAAAACUCUGUUAUUAGGGAAGAACAAAUGUGUAAGUAACUAUGCACGUCUGGACGGUACCUAAUCAGAAAGCCACGGCGAACUACGU
This 496-nucleotide ribosomal RNA is filed under the name uncultured bacterium. RNAcentral describes it as "partial 16S ribosomal RNA". It matches the Rfam family "Bacterial small subunit ribosomal RNA", at positions 28 to 506 of the family's 1533-position model. The record is from RNAcentral.